GAAAUAGUGGCGAAAGGGUGAGUAACAAGUGAGUAAUCUGCCUCUAACUCGGGGAUAGCCCAUGGAAACGUGGAUUAAUACCGGAUGUGAAUGUUUAAUCGCAUGAUUAAAUAUUUAAAAUCUUUUUGGUUAGAGAUGAGCUCGCUUCCCAUUAGCUUGUUGGUAAGGUAACGGCUUACCAAGGCUACGACGGGUAGGUGGUCUGAGAGGAUGGUCACCCACACUGGAACUGAGACACUGUCCAGACUUC
This 250-nucleotide ribosomal RNA is filed under the name uncultured bacterium. Its description in RNAcentral is "partial 16S ribosomal RNA". It matches the Rfam family "Bacterial small subunit ribosomal RNA", at positions 89 to 339 of the family's 1533-position model. The record is from RNAcentral.